CCCGAGUCCAAACCUGAAACAGGUUCUCCCUUCUGCUCUAAAGCCAAACUCAUAUACUUUCAUACUAAAAAAUAGCUACACGGCCGACGUUUAACGCAGCCGCCUCAAACCAGCCUUGACGCCGAUAUCUGCUCAAUUUUCUACAGGUUCCUGAAGGAAGGAUAUCAAAGUUGUUUUAAUCAACAAUGGGGAGGCUGAAGCUCUUUGAUGAUGAACAAAAUGAUGAUGAUGUCUCGAAGAUUGAAAUUAAUAAGGAAUAUGCAAGACGAUUUGAGCACAAUAAGAAGCGAGAAGAGCUGCAAAGGUAUGAGGAGUUGAAGAAGAAAGGUGCGAUUGAAGAAUCAGAUGAAGAUUCCGAUGAUGAGUUGACAGAUUCAGAGGAAGGUAAAGAUGAUUUAUUGGGGUCUAGCAAACAAGACAUGGAGUUUUUUGAUGUGCUGUUGAAAGUGAAGAAUAAGGAUCCAAUUAUUAAGGAAAAAGAUGUUAAGCUUUUUGAGUCUGAAUCAGAGGGGAGUGAAGAGGAAGAAGAAGAAGGAAGUGAAAAUGAUGAAGGGAAGAAGAAGAAUACUAAGAAAGCAAUGUAUUUGAAAGAUGUGAUGGCAAAACAUUUAAUUGAAGAGGGGCCUGAGUUUGAGGAUGAGGAAGAAGAAGAGUCUAGUGAGAAAAAGAAAGAGAAGAGUUACAGUGAAGAGCAAGAGGAGAUUCGGAAAGAGUUUUUAAAUGCGGUGAAAGAGGCUGAAGGAAAUGAGGAGGAAGAUGAUGACGCUUUUUUGAAAGAGAAAAAGAAGGAAAAUGAUGAUGAAGGAGAUCUGGAGGGUGAUGAUAAUGAUCAGUUUGUUAAGAAAUUGGAUGAGUAUUUUGGUGGGGAUGGUGAAUUGGAUGAGAACAAGAUGUUUCUGAAGGAGUUUUUUAGAAAUAAGAUGUGGAUUGAUAAGGAAAGUAAGGAUAAAGAAUUCGAUGUUGAUGAAGAGGAGGUGGAAGAUCUGUUGAGAGAAGAGGAGGAGCUUGAAAGACAAGAGCAGUAUGAGACAAAUUUUAGGCACGAGGAAGGGGUGGAUGAUAGAGUGAUGGGUCACUCAAGGAAAAUUGAGGGGUCAGUAAGGAAGAAGGAUAAUGCAAGGAAAGAGCAGAGGAAGAGUAAAGAGGUGAGGAUGAAAAUUGCGGAGAUGGAGAGAAAGGAAGAGUUGAAACAUUUGAAGAAUUUGAAGAAGAAGGAGAUGAAAGAAAGAAUGAAAAAGGUGAUGGCAAUUGCAGGGUUUAAGGAGGAGGAAGAUUUGUCUUUAAAUUUGAAGGAUUUGGAUGAUGAUUUUGAUCCUGAAGAGUACGAUAGGAUGAUGAAGGCAGUGUUUGAUGAUAAAUAUUAUGGUGCUGAAGAUGUGGACCCUGAGUUUGGCAAGGGAGAGGAAGAAGACGAAGGUGAUAUUGAGAAACCAGAUUUUGAUAAAGAGGAUGAGCUGCUAGGACUUCCUAAAGGUUGGGAUGUGAUUAAAUCAGGUGAUGGAUUUAAGGCUGCUAGGGAAAGGAGUUUAAAGCAUGAAUUAGAAAAUGGUGGUGGUGCUGGUGGUGGUGGUGGUGAUGAUGAUGAUGAUUAUGAUGAUUAUGAUGGUGAUGAAGGAGAAAGAGAGGGCAGGGAGGAAGAAGAAGAGGUUCCUGAGGAGAGCAAGAGGAAGAGGAAACGUAAGAUGUCACUUGUGAAGAGAGCUAGAGAAGAAAUGCUGGAGGAGUUCUACAAGCUGGACUAUGAGGAUACUAUUGGAGACAUAAAAACGAGGUUCAAGUAUGCAAAGGUAAAACCUAAUAGGUAUGGGUUGAAGACUGAAGAGAUAUUAUCAUUGGAUGACAAGGAGUUGAAUCAGUAUGUUUCUGUGAAGAAGAUUGCUCCUUACAGGGAGAAAGAAUGGAAGGUACCUGAUAGUAAGAGGUAUCAGGAAAAAAUGAAGAUUAAGGAGCUUCUCCAAGGUCAUAAGUCCGGUGACAGGAAGAAUGGGAAGAGGAAGAGAUCAAAGGAUGAUGGUGAAAAACCAAAAUCAGAGAUUGGUGCCAAGGGAGAUGGAAAGGUACCACUGGAAGAACCAAAUGGUGAUACAGACAAUUUGUCCAAGCGUGCCAAGACAAGGCGUCGUCAAGCGAAAACUAAACUGUCUCACUCAAGGCUUGUUGCAUAUGGCAAGAUCCCUUCUAAAGGAAAGAGUAAACACUGAACACCAGGAAUAAUUUAGUUCAAGGCAGUUGAUAAGAGCAUCUUUCGGAUGAUUGAUACCGCCACACCAAAGCUUUCCCCAAUUUAAAGUUAUUUGCCAUCCCCAAUAUUAAUUGAAUACAGAGGACAUCAAAUGUGCAAAUAGAUUAGAGGCUGAAGAAUGUUUCAGGUAAUUUUGGAAGAGUUUUGAGUCAUAACAAAUUUUGACGCUUCUCUUUGUAUUAUUUGUUAAAUUAUCUCUCUUGUUACUUAGGAUUGCCUCCUUCCAAAUUUAGCUAUAAAUGAACAUUUUGAUUGUUGGUUAGAUUAAAUCAGCAUUUCAUGGUGCUUAUCAGCUUCAUCAUUGUUGUUGCCGUUGCUAUUUAAGCUUGGUUUAAACUAUAUAUUUAUUGAAAAAAAAUUUCGUAAUUGAAAUACCAUGUCUUGUUUGACAUUAUGUAUGAAUAUAUUAGUGGAAUUCGA
RNA transcript from Mangifera indica (mango), 2662 nucleotides. It is a transcript of the gene named protein KRI1 homolog, with no coding region annotated. The record is from RefSeq and is a predicted model, not a curated record. The transcript has 4 exons. Lineage: Eukaryota; Viridiplantae; Streptophyta; Magnoliopsida; Sapindales; Anacardiaceae.